Non-coding RNA from Podarcis muralis (Common wall lizard), 1511 nucleotides. The record is from RefSeq and is a predicted model, not a curated record. NCBI's taxonomy places the organism in Eukaryota, Metazoa, Chordata, Lepidosauria, Squamata, Lacertidae.
CGGUUCCUUUGGAGAAGGACUGCAAAAAGGUUUUCUGUCCGAUAGCUGGCUUUUCCGGUAGGAAAAGGACCUCAGCAGCAGAGAGGAGCAGCUCCCCGGCUCCUUGUAUUGCAGGCGGUAUUCAAUCUCCUAUUGGUGAAUUCAGGCCACGCAAUUAAAGUGGAUUUGGCGCUCUCGUGCAACAAACCCACUCCCCUCCUCCCCGAAGGAAAUCUGACUUUUUUGCUGCAAAGGAAGAGGUGGGGAAAGGCAGCCAAACUGUGGCAUAUCCGUUUUAUUGACUUACGGUAGCUUUAUUUAAGCGGACAUUUCCCCGAGGGGUUUAGUAGUCAAUCCCUUUUCCCAGGGAACUCUGGGAAUUGUUAGGUCUCCGAGGUGAACAGUGUGUGCGUGGGGGGGGGGGGAAAGUACCCUAACAACUCUCAGCCCCCUUUAACAAACUACCCUUCCCAGGAUGCUUUGGGGAAAACUGUGUCUGUUUGAAGUGGUGCGAUGCUGUUUUCAAUGUAUAGUGCAGAUGGGGACGAAUGCUUAUCGCUCGCCUAGAGGGAAAGAAGCAAAGGCGUGCGUCGUGCAUAGAAAGAAAUCUCUGAAGGAUCCGCCUUGCGGUGCUACACCUGCCUGUUCCCUACCAUCUCCCCGCUGGACUGCCUGAAGUUCCCCACACCGUGCGGCCCGUCUCAGAGAUGCCUCACGUCCGUCAUCAGAGGGCACAGAGGUGCCCUGGAACUGGUUAUCUAUGAGAAGACCUGUGGGGAUUCUUCGAUGUGUGGGGCCCAUGGCACCCGAUCCAUGCUGGGAACCAAUUUCACCUUUUAUUCUUCUUGCUGCGACACUGACCUGUGCAACUCAGCUGCCAGGGGGCCGAGCCUUUUCUGGGGGCAAGCCGCACUGAUCCCCCUGUCAAUCAUCCUGGUCAACCUCCAAUGAGAGCCAGCCCCCAAAGCAGUCAUGCCCCAGGGUGUGAGACGACUCAGGACCAGUCACCUCAUACCGCUGCUUUCUCUCGGCCUCCAAUAACCAAAAUGCUCUGGAAGAAGUCUAAAUAACACCUUUCCUGGUUUCACGUCGCUUUUCUCAUCUCUUUCUUUGGGUUAUCUUCUUAACUGCAAUUUGUGCACGGAAAUUUAUUUUAAACCCCACCUCCCCACAAUGUAUCCAGCUAUCUGAUACCGCAGUUGGCUUUGCAUUAGAAAGAAGGGGGGGGAUUGGUAGCAUGGUAGAAACAGAGGGACACAAGCCUCUCCUCUUUCUUUGCCUUUUCUAUGCUUUCAAAAUUCAGAGUGUAAGCUGCUUGGGGCAGAGCCCUGUUUGUUUGUUGAAGCCUUCCUUACCACAUUAUUUGGAUUAUAAUUCCCAUGGGAGUUGAAUGAUAGAAUUGUAGAAUCCAACCCCCUACGAGGGAAGAAUCUCAACUAAAGCAUCCAAACCGCUUUGAUGUUGUCGUCCCCUUACAAUCAAGUGGUGUAUAAGCUUUAUGGAAUAAAUAAAAUGAAUGAAAAUAAAUGAAA